Molecule: long non-coding RNA, 495 nt
Organism: Hemicordylus capensis (graceful crag lizard)
Lineage: Eukaryota; Metazoa; Chordata; Lepidosauria; Squamata; Cordylidae
Exons: 3
Source: RefSeq, a predicted model, not a curated record
GGAGUGGGGGGUGGGAGAAACCAACCCCCACUGCUGCCACCCAAAGGCCCCUCGAACCUGCAGCUGGCCCUGAUAAAUUUGCAACGAUGCUCAUACCCUGAUUAAGAUGGAAUUCCUGACAUACUCACAGAGGCCACUGGGGGCCUUCUUAAUGAGGCCCAUCAGGAGCACUCUCAACUUCAGGUCGCCCACCCACAACAUUUCCUUCAAUAAAGCCCUUGGAUAACUUUUAAGAAGUUACUGUCCAACUGCAGACCCAGCCCAGCUCUGAGCGGCUUGAGAGAAGACCCAGGAGAUUCCCAGCCCAAGUCAGCUUGGCUGCAGAAGACACUCUGUGCAAGGCCCUUCCUUCUCGAAGAACAAAUGCUACAAAGAAGACCUUGCCCAAGCCACAAAAAGAUGUCAACUUCUGCACCACUGGGAGGGCAGAGAAAGCUGAGCUUGGGAAAUUGGAACGGGUUUCAAUCAAACCCAAAGACUUGAGCAAAUGGACAA